AAGAAGUGGGAGCAGGGAAGGACAGACAUGAACGGUGAAUGAAAGGCUGAGGGAGAAGCCUCGAAGAAGAGAGGAGUGGGGUAGAGCGAUGAGGGAGGAGAGGGAAUCACUCAAUCGUUUCUGCGGAAGGAAAGAGAUUCAAAUGGCCCAUCUAUCCACAAGAGACUUACAGAACAUGAUCCAUGGAUUGAAUCCAGUGCUAAGAGCAACUAUGAAUAUUGCAUGGAGUAGGAGAAGGCCGCAGGCUGUACACCUCCAACUUCUCAUCAAGUUCCCAUGUGCCAAGCGUGUGAGUGCAUGACUCACCUCCAGUGAUGGUCUGGGAUCGCGGAAAAAGAAAGAUGGGGUUGGAGGUUAAUCUGAGGUUGGUACAGUUCAUCAGAUUCCUGAAGUGAUGUGGCAGCAGCAGGAACAGGCAGGUGGAGCCUGGAGAGCCGAACAGAGAGCUGCAGCAUCAACAACAAAGAAUAAGGGUAACUAUCCAGACUUUUUGGAAAAGCUAAACAAAAAAAAAUGAGACAUUUCUGACAGCUGGAGGCAUCAUUAAUGUUCUACCAGCUACUUUGUUUCCAUUUAAAAAGCAAAAAACGGAAGGCUGUUAGCUGUGUUUUGUCUGCUACCUCAGCCUUUUGCAAAUAAGUUCAUGACAGGAAGGCAAUAUUAAUGACUGGAUAGAUAUACACAUCAGUAAUGACAAUGUCCCCAGUAUGUGGACUACAAUAUACAUACUUUAUACUAUAAAUAUAUUGUAAUAUUGUUUGUGUUUAUUUUAGCAAUUUCAACCCUGAGAGAUCCAGCAAGAAAAAAAAGUGUUUUCAGUUUAGGACUAACAGACAGAAAUUGAACAAAGGAGAAAAAGACAAAGACUAAAGUAUAAAGCUGAACUCAUUUUGAGCCACAGCAACAACAGUUAGUCCACCACUUUAACCUGACAGUGACUUAUCUACUGACACUAAUUGGCAAUGUGCUGACUUUUUCCUAUAGCAACACCUUGAUGUGGAAAUCCUUGUCUUUGAGUGAAAUGUUCCAAAAUGUCACUUGUCCAGUACAUUGUUUUAUGACCAAGUAUCUGCUGAACCGAUGACAUUCCCAAAAGCUAAGAUAGUGAACACGGUAAGCUUCUCAUCUUAGCAUGUUAGCAUUAUCAGUGUUAGCAUGCUAGUAUGUCAAGAAUAGCAUUUAGCCUUACAGAGCUGCUAGCACGACUGUAGACCUUUGUUUGCUAAAUAAUCACUUAAAGACAAGAGGAGAAGUCAAUUAUUAGGGCUCCAUUAGAAUAUAAGCAGUACAGCGUGAGCAGAAAAACCUCCUGGAGAAUUAACCUGUUGGUAAAAACGUGACUCAAACACUGUCAGCUUUGUGUGGCAUUUUGUCAUAAGGGCAUGUGGUGUUGACAGUGACGGCAGAAAAUGCAAAAAGCCAUUCAGAUUAAGAAUGCUAAGCCCCUGGAGGCACAGCCUCUUCUGCAUCCAUAUGAAAAGACCCAGAGUGAGACUUGGCAUACGCUCUGUUGGAUUAUGAGGGGAAAUGUCUUCUAUCCAAAAAAUGAUUACAGCACCUCUUAGCCAAUGUGCAUGCAAAGAGAAAACUAAAUGAAUGAAUAAUCAUGGCAUGGAGAAACCAGAAGGAAGGUGAGGUAGAAGGAGGAGAUUGAAGAGCUCGCAAAAUAGGUAUUUAAAGUCUAACAUUCAUGAA
Scatophagus argus is the source of this 1695-nucleotide long non-coding RNA. RefSeq lists it as uncharacterized. The record is from RefSeq and is a predicted model, not a curated record. The transcript is spliced from 4 exons. NCBI's taxonomy places the organism in Eukaryota, Metazoa, Chordata, Actinopteri, Scatophagidae.